This is a long non-coding RNA of Haliotis rubra (blacklip abalone), 450 nucleotides long. RefSeq lists it as uncharacterized. The transcript is spliced from 3 exons. The record is from RefSeq and is a predicted model, not a curated record. Lineage: Eukaryota; Metazoa; Mollusca; Gastropoda; Lepetellida; Haliotidae.
UCCGUAGUCCAACCUCCUGGUUUGUUGGUGACAGAUGAACACGAACGCCUUAGCCUACACAAGACCGUCUGGGCGUUUCUUCUCGAGAGGAUAAUCAUGAGUGUAUUGCUGAUUCUGUGGAUUGCAUCUUUGGUUAUUUCCACUGAAGGCGAACAGUGCAAGAACAACCAGCACUGUUCAGACUGUAACAAAACCAGUGGACAUUGCCUCACAGACUGUGACACCGGGUAUUUUGAUCGGACAUGCACGUCAGCGUGCAGCAGGACCUGCAGAAACCACUCAUGUCGGUUGUCAGCCUCUGGUAUAGGUGAUUGUACUGAUGGGUGUGUCCCCGGAUAUCACGGCCCAGAGUGCAACAUACCAUGUGACAGUCCAGGAGGUAGCUGUACAGCAUGUCCAGGUGGUUGUGAUGUUGGAUAUUGUCAGCUGGGCUCAUCCUGUGUGUCUGGA